GCUGGGUGCGGUGGUGCACGCCUGUAAUCCCAGCGGCUUGGGAGGCUGAGGCAGGAGGAUUGCAAGUUCAAAGCCAGCCUCAGCAACUCAACGAGACCCUGUCUCUA
RNAcentral lists this small RNA (107 nucleotides) under Marmota monax (woodchuck). The record is from RNAcentral. Lineage: Eukaryota; Metazoa; Chordata; Mammalia; Rodentia; Sciuridae.